This 13381-nucleotide long non-coding RNA is filed under the name Daphnia magna. RNAcentral's name for it is "uncharacterized LOC116920391, transcript variant X4". The record is from RNAcentral. Lineage: Eukaryota; Metazoa; Arthropoda; Branchiopoda; Diplostraca; Daphniidae.
UGCCGCCCUCAUUUGUUUUUGUUUUUUUAUUCUUGUUAUUAUGAUGUAUUAAAUUUUAGUCUGCUAAACAAACAUCACAAUUUAAUAAUUUAAAAGAACCUGAUGUACGUCAAGCUUUGAAAACUGGAAGUUAUCACUAGGGAUGGAUGUACCACAAGAUAUUAACGUGUCCGACUUAGACGUAGACGAGCAAGCGGUUGCGCACUGCCUAUCCAAGCAUGGUCUAUGAUACUCCUUUUGUAAACCUGUACUCCAAGUAACCAACACAUUCAUAUUUCUUCAAUUUGCUGAGAAUUAACCAGCCACUGGGAAGAAGAUGUUGAUUUUGUCCGCCCUUGGAUAGGAGCCAAAAGACUGAAGUGUUGCAAUACUUUUGACCAGCCGCGUACCAGAGGUGGAAAGAGAGAACAAGCUGUAAUGAGGAGAGUCGUAUAGAUACUUGAACGGACAGCUGGGCCGGCCUUCAAAUCCACCAAAAAAAUUGUUAUCAGGGCCUAGCAUUAUCAACUGACAUUUUGAAUACGUCGCUGAAAACAAUCACAGUUAAACACUUCAACAAAAUGUCUAUUUAACGUGCGUGUUUUUUUUUUUACCUUUUUCAUGUGACGCGUUUAGUCUGGAUUUCAGGUUUUGGAUGUGUUCAGAAACAGCAAGACAAUCCUAAAUAAUCCUGCUGAUUUUCGGCUGAUGCGAUUGUCAUUCCUACCAGUUGACAGGUAAGCAGAUCAGUGAGGCGGUUGCGCAUCAACGUGGCACGGCACCGUGAAAUCAAAUGCGGUUGUCCAAAUUCUACCGGUAGUCUUGGAGAUGAGCAACACUACUGGGGAAGAAUCGAGGAAAUCACUUUCCUAGUUCAUAGUGAUUUAUUCCCGGACCCCUGGUACAUGUGACGCAACCAAUCGCGUCAUCAGAAUCCGAAGAGUUACAGUAUACAUCUGUGGACGACUUCUGUGCAUGGCCAGUACGGCUAGUAAGAACCUGUGUUCUGGAGUCAACAGGCACGAGAUCGCCAAAAGGAAACAAGUUUGUUCGACUUCUCGAAUCUGUUACCAUCCAGUCCAAGUUUGCAAAUGACCACCGCGUAUAGUUGAUCGGGUUGAUCUUGAACGGCCAGAGAGAUAUCACUAUCAGCUGCUAUUUACACUGGCGACAGUAUAACAUCAUGCUCGCAUCUUAAAUUGGAACUUGUUGUGGACGGCCACCUGCCCUGAAAUGGACCUUCCCAGAGGACGACAGCAAUUGACAAGAAAUUUGAAUACGGCUGAAUUGCACCGUUGGACAUGAAGCACUUUUGCAAACAGCCAUUGGUUAUUCAUUUGCCUCGUUCGAACGGUGUGCACUAACUGUGCUUGUCAACAGACAGGUAAAUGACACCUAUUGUAGUCAUUGAGAUGAGCAGCACUACUAGAGAAGAACCGAAAGAGUCACUUUCCACGUUCAUCGUCAUUUAUUGUCGGAGCCCUGGAUCAUGUGAAGAUCACGUCAUCGGAAUCCGAAGAGCUGCAAGACACAUGUGUGAACGCCUUCUGUGUACGACAGUGACGCAUAAAUUGUGUGAGGACCAGCAUUUCUACGGCCAGUUAGAACAUGUGUACUGGAGCCAACAAUCACGAGAUCACUAAAAGGUAACAAGAUCAGCGAUAAUAUAAACGCACGGCGAGGCUGAAAUGGCAAAUGAAAAUCAUCAUCAAUCAUCAGGCGGGCAAGCAGACGAAGAAUUCGUCGAUAGCCUUUUCUUUUCCGGCUGCACAAGAAAAUCCUGUUCCAUUCUUCCAGAAAUUAGGUGGUUUCCUAGUGCUUGUGUGUGCCUCACGCUUUCCCGAUGGGUGAUUAAACUUGAGGCCGUUUUGAUUGGGGAACCUUUUGGUGUCCUUCGCGUUUUAGCAGAAUGCACGUUGGCCUGAGCUGAUGCACUUGACGGUGGCGAUCCUUCUUCUCUCUGAAGCGAGCGGGGAAACCCCUGUCACCUAACUUGAUGGCAUUUCAUAUUCAACGCGCCCCUGGGCAGGAAAACCGGACGUACGGAGUGAAUGCAGAAAAUGGUGAAUCCAAAAUGAAUUGUGGUCAUUUGUAUGCACGGUCUAAAGGCAGCCCUGUAUAAAAGGAGGAUGAUUUUCGCGUUAUUUAUGCACUAAUAAGUCCAGUUGACUUAAGCACGUUUCAGUUCCAGCAGUUAUCCCGUCAUGAAAUCCAGAAUCAUUGUGUCAUCGGCGUUUUCCUUUUGACUAAACUAACAACCAGGAUGAACAAAUUAGAAGAUGCGAUGAAGAAUCUCAACGCGAAUUCCCAAGCAACCGCAGGUGAGCUGAGGAUCAUCAAAUCGGAUCUUUCGAAAUUAGAAAAAACUGUGGAUGCAACCAAAGAUAAGCUGGCAACGUUCAAAUCGGAUCUGGAUGCAGUUAAAAGAACUGCUGACGCAAGCAAAAAACACGGUGGCAACCAUCAAAAGAGAUGUGGGCACAAUUAGAAGUGAUCUUGACGCAACCAAAGCUACAGUGGCGACUUUACAAAUAAUUUGAGCACUGUCAAGGAAUCUGUAGAUGAAACUAAAACUACGGUGACGAAUUUAGAAACGGAUUUGAGCGCCGUCAAAUAAACAAUAGAGGGUUUGAGUGAGACGACCUCUAUUGAUCACAUGCCCACUUCAUGCCUCGAUCUACAGGAAUUGGGCAACAUCAAAACGGAUUGUACAACAUCAAGUCGUCCACUAAAGUUGCCACUGUUUUUUUGGCGACUUCACCAAAGAUCCUAAUGAUGCAGAUUUUCAGCAAACGAUUGGUUCUCUCAAUGUGCAAACCGCCCCGUCUAUUUUAACGUCCUUGGAACGAGUCCUUGUCAUGUUUCCAAAAGCGGAUUAACAUGAUAAGCUUUUUAGUCGUAGGAUUAUUUAGGGGCAAAGCUUAGAUGCAGUUGUUGUUGAAUUUAUUUAUGUCUUUUAGCGUUUCACUCCUGAUUUCCCUAAACAAAUUAUUUAUAAAUUAAUACAGAAAAUUUGUCUGCAAAAAUGUUUUCACUUUUCCACGGAAAAUAAUAAAUGUCUUUGCGAUUUUACGUGAUGGGCACAAUUAAAAUAUUUCAGCUGCAUUUUAUUCCUUUUACCUGCGCUAUUUGACAUCUUAUUGAUUAAAUCUGAAAUGAGAUUUCCUUGUUUUCCAAUUUGUCAAACUCAAAAUGGCAGAAGGGAAAGCGGCGAGAAGAAUAACAAACAAUGGCAACGUUAUCGCACACCCUUCCUCCUUUCUUCAUUUGGAUCGCCAUUUACGUCGCAGAAAAUUUACCCAGUGCGAUUCCUUCUAAUUAUUUUGGAUUAGGUGUAUCUCCAAAUUACGUAAUGUCUUAUUAAGUAAGAGGAACAAAAAUUUUAAAAUUUGGAUUGUCUUGUGAUUACCAGCAUUGAACUGCUAUUUAUUUCCAUUGGUGUCGUAUUUCUUUGUGAAAAACGUGGUUCGUGGGCGGACUUAUCGGUGUGUAUUUGUGUUCAUCCAGGCCGCUGCCCUUUAGAUUGAGUGAGAUGUAAUGAAAUUCGAUUUAUUGAAAAGGUGGGCCCUUAAAGUUUUGGUGUCGUUGAAAAAUUAUUUUAAUUUCAUCGUGAAUCUGUCUUGAAGAGAAUGGACAACCAACAUCUUCAUGUGUCACAUCGACCAUUUUAGAGCUUGUAUCCAGAUCUGGUCUCCUUUGGCCAAUCGCAGCGUCGAUUGCACCGAAAAUGUUUCAAACUGUACGCCAUUGGAGAUCUCGUCACAGUCGCCAGCGAAGAAGAAUAGAAUAUAGAAGGCCUUCGCUGUGCAGCGUUUGAAUGCAAUUCAGGGCGACAGAAGUUCUCUGCUCCAUUUCCAGAGAAAUAUUUGCAAAUGAUGCACUUAAAGAAUGACCUGAAUCCAUCCCUUUGUUGGCUCACAAAUCGUCGGCUCCGACUUUCAGAAUCUUCUCUGGCCACAUUUCGUCUUUUUGGCGCAAUUUCGGCUGCGAUCGUGUCAUAGAGUGGGGAGGUGCUAUAGCUGACAUCGUAUUCGAUCUGAACAAGAGUGUGGGCCUGUUUUUAAGUUAUAAAUGGGGAAAGAUCAAAGGAUUAGCUGUUUCCCAAAUCAGAAUCCCUUGUUGUCCUUAACUUUUGAAGGUCAUGGCAGUGAAAUUGUUUAUUUUUCAUUUUCUCGAUAGAUGUCUGCCCUUUUAAUUAAUCUUAAAAUAAAUUCUUUAUCAGCCCAAUAAAAAACAAAUGGCCAGCCAUUGUCAGGAUAUAAUAAAAUGGUGGUUUAAAACAAUCACUUAAAUACUUGAAUUAUCAAAUGGGUGUGCUGUUCAAGUGAGUCACGCACUUUGACACUUGACUUGAGGCCACUUUGAUUUUUGUUUUGUUUCAUCGUCCUUUCAUGGACAGAAACCAGUCUGUAAAUUAGCAUUGAUUUUACAACCAACGAUAAGUGUUGAAUGACCUUGAGACAUUAAAAAAAAAAAUUUUCUUUGUUUAUUUUUUCUUGUGGUUGUCUAUAUGAUAAAGUUGUUUUUUAUUUGCCCUUUAAUGGACGAAGAAAACUUCAUUUAUCGUAACACAGAAUCUUUGUAUUUCUCAUCUGGAUAUCCUCGUUAAUUUUAUCAUUUCAUAUUUUAUGAACAAGCAAGGGGCAACACUAUGGCCUUGCUGUCGUCGCCUACAUUUGUCAGGUUUGCAACAAGCCAAUAUUUUAUGUUUUCUACUUGAUUUCACUUCACUUUUACUCUUCUAUUUCACCAGCUCUACCACUCGAGUCUUUUUCCUUUUCUUAUCUUGGGCGUGCAAAGCGAUUCUGGUUGGCAAGUCAACUUUGUCAGCGUCAAAUUACGUGUUUUCCCAUUCGGCAAAGUCCUCAUUUCACCGCUCUUACGUCCAACUCAACUGAAAAUGGCCUCGCCAUUAUCUUCAAGUCAUGCUGGAAAUGUACACGGCAUUCAGUUUGAUCGCUCACAUCUUUUCGGGGAGGAUGGCUAUACUUCAGUGUUACAUGGUACAUUGAAUGGUCAAAGGGUAGCAAUCAAAAGAAUCGAGGUGACCAGAGGCACAAAUCAAACAACUGACAACAAGUAAAAAAUUCUGCAGCAGUUAAACCAUCCGAAUGUCGUCAAACUUCUUCACUAUGAACACGACAACACUAUGAACACGACAACAAUUUUAUGUAAGAUUCUUUUUUCUUGUUUUUAACCAAAAAUAAAUUAUCAUAAUGAUUUUCGUUUAUCUCUUUGCCGUGUUUAAAGGUACUAUGCAUUUGAAUGGUGUAACACCUCGUUAUCUCAGCUGUUCUUGAAGUCGGAUGACCCCAAAAAAUACGAUGGACCUAUGCCACAUCAUAUUGAUGCUUUGUUUCAAUUGGCUUCUGGUCUCAAACAUAUUCAUUCACAGAAUUUAGUUCACGGAAACAUUAAACCAGAAAAUGUCCUGAUCUCGGUAAGAUCUGGUGGCAAAGAUGAUAUAACUCUCAAAUGGGCAAACUUUGGACUGACCAGAAACGUCAGUGAACGAGGAAGAGGGAAAACAAAUCAAGUGGGGGGAGAUAACACGUGGUUGGCACCCGAGUUGCUGUCGUUUAAACUAAAUAGCAACGUAGAAGAAAACAAUUACAAAGAGACCGCCAAGAGCGACGUCUUUGCACUAGGACUCGUUUUCGGAAGUCUAUUCUCGAACGGUGAACAUCUCCACAUAAUUGGAUUAAUUCUUUUUCAGUGAGCUAAAUUGAAUUAAUUUACAUUUUUAAAGAUGGUCGAAUUGCAUUAAAUUGGUUAUACCUUCUCCUUGAUGGCUUUUAGUUGACUAACGCGUUGACUAACUUGUGUCGAUGUCAUCCUUUUGUCAGGGGCGUGUUCCAACAUUUUUUUCAUUGGGUCAUUCUCGUAACAGUCGCGUAAUUUGCCGCCAAUUUCUAAAACAAAGUCACGAUUUAUUCAUUCACCAUAAAAUCAAAAGGAUUUUUAUCUAUAUGAGGAAUUACUUUGCAUGUUGAUGGGAUUCCCUUCAAUUAUGUUUUGGGGAAUUUCAUUUUCAUUUCCCAUGGGACCGUAGAGAUGUUCACCGUUCAAGAUUAGACUUCCAAAAACGAGUCCUAGUGCAAAGACGUCGCUCUUGGCGGUCUCUUUGUAAUUGUUUUCUUCUACGCUGCUAUUUAGUUUAAACGACAGCAACUCGGGUGCCAACCACGCGUUAUCUCCCCCGACUUGAUUUGUUUUCCCUCUUCCUCGUUCACUGUCGUUUCUGGUCAGUCCAAAGUUUGCCCAUUUGAGAGAUCUUAUCUUUGCCACCAGAUCUCACCGAGAUCAGGACAUUUUCUGGUUUGAUGUCUCCGUGAACUAAAUUCUGUGAAUGAAUGUGUUCGAGACCAGAAGCCAAUUGAAAUAAAGCAUCGAUAUGAUGUGGCAUAGGUCCAUCGUAUUUUUUGGGGUCAUCCGACUUCAAGAACAGCUGACAUAACGAGGUGUUACACCAUUCAAAUGCAUAGUACCUUUAAACACGGCAAAGAGAUAAACAAAAAUCAUUAUGAUAAUGUUUUUCGGUUAAAAACAAGAAGAAAGAAUCUUACAUAAAAUUGUUGUCGUGUUAACAGUGAAGAAGUUUGACGACAUUCGAAUGGUUUAACUGCUGCAGAACUUUUAACUUGUUGUCAGUUGUUUGAUCUGUGCCUCUGGUCACCUCGAUUCCUUUGAUUGCUACCCUUUGACCAUUCAAUGUGCCACGUAACACUGAAGUAUAGGCAUCCUCCCCGACAAGAUGUGAGCGAUCAAACUGAAUGCCGUGUACAUUUCCAGCACGAUUUGAAGAUAAUGGCGAGGCCAUUUUCAGUUGAGUUGGACGUAAGAGCGGUGAAAUGAAGACUUUGCCGAAUGGGAAAACACGUAAUUUGACGCUGACAAAGUUGACUUGCCAACCAGAAUCGCUUUGAUGGUACCAUUUAUAUUACCUGCAAUUAUCAAAUAAAUUUAAAGUUUAAUGGAGAUAAUGGUUUUACAGUGUAUCUGAAAAUCCGUGUAAAAGGCUGUGACGUUUAUUUACGUGCCUUUUUCAAGUUUUACCAGAUUUGUUUUAUGUUUUUUACUUUUAGAAGGUCGAAUUAAAGGACAUGCAUAGCACGAGAAAAAGAAAGGCAGACACGGGCACGCCCGUAUUCUGCAUUGACUAAACAAGGAAAAACUAAGCAAUUUUAAAAUCUAAUUAUUUUGUUUUUGGAAGAGGGAUCUUUACCUUGUCCGUCAUUUCCGUUCAAUAUUCCUCAAUGGAAAACGGAAAAAUAAUGCCAGUUAAGGCCACAAUUCACUUUUGGGAUUUCCUUUGUCCUUCUAAAUGUCGUGAGCGGUGUUAACUUGUGAGAAUGGCGAGUGAGAGCUGGGUGUGGCAGGGAGUUGGUUUCUUAUCAGUUCUUUUUUGUCAAGUUCCUUCUAGACAUUUUUCAUUCCACCGCCAGAGGGGUUCGUGUUUCCAUUAUUUCGUGUUUCCAUUAUUUCGUGGACAAACAUGGUUGAUGUAUGGCUUGAGUAGCGGGCACGCCAAUGCAUCCAUCGCCUUUAAAAGUCAUGUAUUGGAAGAGACUUAAAGCUAAAAACUAGGUGGCAGCACAUAGCAGGACUACGGACGACAGUGGCGGUUAUUGCUCCAAUACCAGAUGGCAGUGUAUAACGAAGGACCAUGGCAGAGAAAAAGAAAACAAAAGGAAUAGAUCUAUGCUGUAUGCAGUUUUAUAGUGUGACGUCAUUGAUACGUGGAACCAUGGACUACUCUAUUGUUAAGGACGGGACUGUUCGACAUUUCCUAUGCCACCCAUCCACAGUGACACCCUUUAACACGGCGGGAUAGGGAAACUUUCCCGUCCUUAACAAUAGAGUAGUCCAUGGUGGAACACGAAAAUGUAAACUGCAUUUUGUUUCCUUGUCCCCCUCCGCCUCGAGGCAGUUUGGACAAAUUCGUAAAAAAUCCCGGAUACAACUUAUCGACACCUCUAAUCUUGAGUAAGUUUCACUUGAAAGGGCUGGCACAUUGAAGUGAUAUGGAUCCUUCUUUCACGUUUACGUCCGUUCUUCCAUCGUCUAAAGAUGAAAAACCUAGCCGAUGUCAAAUUAUCGUUAAUGCCAUUUAGGGAAAUUUUGAGGCUGAACGAAAGUUGCCUUGUUGCAGUUUACUUCAGUGGAAAAGAUGAUUUGCUGCACUGCCACCUUUAGGCCUAGGGUUCAACAUUCCGAUGGAAGGCGCAUUGGCAUCUACCAAUGCUAUAACACCAACAAUUUGAAUAUGCCAGUCAGCAAUACUAUGACGGAUGUGUUGAGUCCAGAAGAUCCAGAUUUAAUUGUGCCGGGGAACGAAGAGAUCGACGUUCAACAGAUACACGAAACUUCGCUCGACCGUUACGACAGCUGCUACAUUUCCAACGGCAAAUCGGGUGAAGAAAUCGCGAAUGAUGGACGAACAAAAUAUUGUAACAUGUAACUGAAGGUGGACGUAGCAACUUCCACGUCAUUUAGUACGCCAGUGCCGAAACGACGUGCAUAUGCAGAUCAAAAGGAAAAUAAUUUCACGUUAAUUCCAUCGUCGUCUUUGUUGUUGUCAUCAUUAUCUUUGCUAUGAUCGCAGUUGCGGUUUCAUCAAAAGGUUGUCAAACAUUUGAAUUUAAUCAUUUUAUCCUAAAAAAUCUCACCCAAUAGUUUCGAUUAAUUCCGAAUGGAUGUAGCGAAUCUAAGGCGAGCUGAUGGUCGUAAUGGAAUUUUUCGCCCACGACAAUUUGUAAGAUUUUGUAUGCCCAAUUGCCGCCAUUUCGUGAACGUAUUGGAUAAAUAUGACAAUCUUUCACCUCACUAUCAACAGAAAGUUGGCUCCAGUUCGUCCCUCAAUCUCUCUUCUGUUCCGUUCAGCAAAUGCAGUAGCGUUGUCAUGUUUGGGGUAUCCAAAGCGAUGGAGGACAUAGUAGAAGGUUGAUAGCUAAAAAAGGAGUUGCAUUAACGGAGGUAUUUGAUAUCCGUAAAUGAGUGAAACCUGAAAAAAAAAAAAAACGAGGAUUUGGCGUUUAAUCAAAUGAGAGCCCUCUGAGGAAUGUGUUGGCUGUUUGGUUUUUGGAGCCAUCACCACCGGAUUCUAACGUCGCAUUUUCAAUCAUUCAAUUUGAAUUCGUAUGUACAAAUGACUCGUGUUCCUGAGGUUGAAGCUCUUGGGGAAAAAAAUUGGCGAAAGUUAAAAAUGAAAAUUGUUUCAUUUUUUAUAACCCCUUGAGAAAAACAAAUAAGACAUGAAAAUUUGAUAAAAUGAAAUACAAAAAGAUAAAAAUUAAUUUCGUUUGAAAGAGGUGCAAAUAUGGCAGCCCUGUUGGCUGUUACCUUAAGGAGUAGGGAAAAUUGUUUACUCAAUCGCACUUACCCACUUAAAGUUGUCGGAGAAACAAUGGCGUUCUUCUGCAGGGGAUAUUUUUUUUGUAUUUAUUUUUUUAUUUUAACAAGUAACACGUGAGUUAAAGACAUGAAAAUGAAACCGUUUCGUCUGUCGUUUGACUCCCGUUGUUUUAGUGCUUUAUUGUUUCGAAAGAAACGUGGAUUGUGAGCUCCUUAUCUGCGUGCAUCUGUCGUCAUCCAGGCUGCUACCAUUUCGAUUAUGUAAUAUAAAAUGAAAUUCGACAUUUUUAACUAGAGGUGUUUAAUAGUUUUUGUUUGGUCCCGAAUCUCGAAAAUCUCGAAUAUUCCGAGUGAAUGGUAAACCAGUCGUGAAGUGAACAGCUUCGGGUGCUACGUGGUUUAUUUGUGGACGAAUUCCAUUCGUAAUUGCAUUCAUCACAGAAGUUUGCGAUGACAUUCGACGCGUUUCCAUUUCGGGCAAAUGUUUCAUCCUGUAACGUCUCCAUUUACGAGUCGAUAUGUAACGACUAGAUAGCCUAUAAGAUCGACAAAGUGCUCUGGAUAAACAUUGCAACUGAUUUUCCAAGUCUUUGUUUUUCUUACCCUACCUUAGUGUGAAGAAUUAACCACCUAAUGGCAGUCCGUGUUGAAUUUUUUGUAUACGCUUUGCAAUGGGCAGACGAUUCAGUCGGGCUCGGACAUUACGAAUUUCAGUUUCACCAGGGUCGAGGCAAACUAUCUUGAGAAAAUCUAGUUUAUUUUAUACUUAAACGAAUGAAGGACUACAACAACAGCAAAGUGACCGUUUUAAGAUAACGAGUGUCGAGUCUUUGUCUAAUCACCCCUGGGCAAGCGCAGCUUCGUCGAGGAGUUUAAGAAUUUCUUUCUUUUUUGGGUUGCUCAGUUCAUUGUUUUUGCGUAAAAUAGAUCGUGGGUCGUUGCCUUUGGGUAUGACGCGAAUCCCAUUUUGGAUUAAUAUUCUUAUUGCUUCUUCUGAGUUUGAGGUUGAAUAGUUUCCACACAAAAAAUGAAGAGCAUUUUCUCCAUAUUUGUUCGUUGCGUUGACGUCAAUUCCCUUUUCGAUCAAGGUUUUCAUCGCGUCGAUAAAACUUGAGUUUCCUUUGUUUCGACACAAAUAAUGGAGCGCGUUCAGUUCAUGGUUGCCCUUUGCAUUCACGUCGAUUCCCUGUUCGAUUAACAGUAUAAUUGCAUCGAUUAACGUCGAGCUUGAAUUCAAUUCGCACAAAAUGUGUAGCGCAUUUUUUCUAAAUCGGUCCUUUGCUUUGAUGUCGAUUCCUUUCUUAAUUAGUUUUUCAAUUUCUAUUGUUAGAUCCGACGAAUUUUCAAGGGCACAUAAUCGACGCAAUUCUUCUUCGCGUGCAAUCCGAUGCGAUUUUUCCUCGCGUGCAAUCCGAUUCGAAUCUAAUAGAAAAUUGUCAAGAUGGUUGUUCGAUUCUGGAGUGUGUGCAGUUUCCCUGGAAUUUGAUAGUUCGUCGACGACUUGUGCCGAUGUUAUUCUUAUUUUAAGGUCGUCUUCCAACAUAUGACUAAUGAAUUUCUAUCUCGUCGUUACCGUAAAGAUGUUUGCCGUUCAAGAAAAGGUAACCGACGACGAGGCCUAGGACAAACACAUCGCUCUGAACGGUGCCUCGAGGCUCAUCUUCCUCUUGCGCGUUUUCCAGCAAUUUCAGGGACUCGGGGGCGCGCCAUUUUUUUGUUCCUCUGAUAUCGCUCAACGUGAACGUCCCCCGCUCAUUUACGGCUUUUGACAGUCCAAAGUCAGCCCAUUUGAUUAUUGUCUCGUCAUCUUGGCGAGGAGGUCGCUUUAUGAGCACGUUUCCUGGUUUAAUGUCUCGAUGAAUGAAUUUCUUUGAAUGGAUGUAUGCCAGGCCAACAGCUAAUUGACGAAACACUUCGAUAUUAGAUGGCCUAGGUCCGUUAUAUUUUUUGGGAUCGUCCGACUUUAGAUAUAGCUGAUCCAAAGAGGCGUCGCACAAUUCCAUUGCGUAGUACCUGAAACACCGCAACAAAGAAACAAACUGCAUUAUUUCAUGUUUUACUUUUGAGCAUACGAAAAAAAAACCUCACCUGAAAUUUUUGUCGCUUUCACAAUGGAAAAGUUGGACGAUGUUUGGAUGAGUCUGAAGCUCUCGCAAAGCUUUUUCUUCGUUUGCAUUUACGUUUGCAUUUGCUAGUAAAACUUGUUUUACUGCUACUGCUUCAUUUUCAAACUCUCCUCUAAACACGAAGCCAUAACCACCACUUCCUAAUAUAUCAUCCCGGCUGAACUUUAUUUUCAUUUCCACCAUACUUUCGAUGCACACGAGUAAAAGAAUGUUCAAUGGUUUUUUUUUUUUUUCUUUUGUGUUUGACUUCUCGAAUCUGUUUCCAUCCAGUCCAAGUUUGCAAAUGACCACCGCGUAUAGUUGAUCGGGUUGUUCUUGAACGGCCAGAGAGAUAUCACUAUCAGCUGCUAUCUACACUGGUGACAGUAAUCACUGAAAUAUAUUUUACGCAACCAACGAGACGUAUUUGAACCAGUUAUGGACGGCAUUUUUUUCUGAAAUGGACAAAUUGACAAACAAUUGGAAUACGACUGGCUGUUGCAGACGACACUAAUUUAAAGACAAAAUAUUAGCUGUCUUCGAUGGUCUGGGCAUUGCUGUUGAAUGACGUAGGAUAUUUCACAUCACGACCACCUUAAUGAUAGAAGUCAUUGAACAUGUGUCACAAAUCAAGUCGCUGACUAUGUGAAUUGCAAGGGUCGACAUGAAUCAUGUUUGCAAACGGCCAUCGGUUACUCUUUGGCCUCGUUCAAUCAGUGUGAACUAGCUGUGCUCGACAACAGACAGUGUUUACUUCAUUUGAUGACCAAAAGCAGUGAAUCUCAAAUGAUUUUGAAAUCAAAAUUUGAAUUUGUGUGUUGUUUCCUGAAGCAAAUGCAAAGUUCUGUUGGAUGACCAAACCAUAGGUCUGCUAAAAUGAGCUCACAUUUACAUCAUAUUUAUUGAUGGUACACAUUUUCUGUCGUCGUUAGUCUUCCUGUCCAGUGGCUCUCAAUGGUUUAUUAGACCGCCCAAUUUGGCAGCUGUGCUCCAGAACCAGUGUUUAUCCUAGCUGAAAAGAAAAAACUAACUAUAAAGAGGAGAAUCGUACAGACGCUUGGACGAACAACUUGGACGGCGAGAACGAGUGAAGCCAAACAGUAGGAUCGGUUGAUGGCAUCAACUUGAUGCCCAGUCUACCAUGUCCUUUUCGUGAGCGUCUCCGUCGUGAUGGCCUUCCUUCGUAUCCUGUUACUCAGGUUUUCAGCAACACGUAGAAACUGUAGAUGUAAAACUUGUCCGUCCUAAAGCAGAGUAAUUCGGAUACGGUCAUAAUGAAUUUCGACAUUGAAAAUCUCAACGUGGGAGGGGCGAUGGAUACAAAAGGAGGGAUGUCCUUAGCACCCGUAGCCGAAAAGCUUUUUUUUUUUUCGUUAACGGUACCUCCUGAUUACGACUCAAGUACGUGUUAGGUUUAUUUACUUAAAAAUGCGAACGUGCUCCGAUACGCGACGGUGGGUAACCGGGUCCACUUUUCAAGUGAGAUCUUUGCAUCUUGAAGCGACUGUUCACCUGGCUACGGGUGAUUCGGUCUGGUUGUAUCUUUAUGUUCAAGUAACACGCUUGUGGUAGAUGCUCAUUUUACAGGUCCUACUGGCAUGCUGUUGAUGGAAGACAUUUUAAAUCUCAGGUAAUUACUGAAUAGUGCAGCAGCAAUAUUCGUGAAGGGUGACCUUGCAAUCCGCUUUAAAGAGUUCACCAAGUACCAUAUGUAGAGGUUUUAAAAAAUUGAAUAAUGUAAUGGAAAUGUUUUAGCCAUAGUGUAUGGUCUAGUGGCCAAGCAGACACCGUAUUCUUGUCAAUUCCUGUGUGUUUUAGAGUUACAAUCAUGACUGCUUUAAACGAAUUAAUUGAGAAGAAAAAUUUGCAAACGUAUUUAUGCUUCUAAAUUUGUAAGUUAUCUGAUAUGAAAUCGAACAAUAAACUGGUAUUUUUAAAAAGGG